Molecule: long non-coding RNA, 1105 nt
Organism: Ailuropoda melanoleuca (giant panda)
Lineage: Eukaryota; Metazoa; Chordata; Mammalia; Carnivora; Ursidae
Exons: 3
Source: RefSeq, a predicted model, not a curated record
CGGGCCUACAUGCCCCGCAGGAUCCCGUUGGUCUCCAAGUCGGUGAGGUUGCCGCGCAGGUCCUGCUCCUCCUCGAAAGCCUUGAACAGUGAGUUGAAGUUGCCGGCUCCAAAACCCUGGAGCGGGAGAGAGAAGAAGCCAGGCCCCUGGAGUCCAGGGAAGGCCUCACCUGGAUCUGGGACUUCUUCUUCCCCAGAGCCGGCUCGUUAAUGGGCAUCUUGAUAGACUCCUCGUAAUUGGCCACCACGAUGGAGCGCAGAGAGCUGUAUUCUGUGUGCACCUGCGUGUCGUCCACAGACCAGAAGCGGUGGAACUGCAGAUUCUUCAGAUCCCCUUCGCCUGGCUCCGCCUCCAAGCUGACACCUGCUGCCAUUUCAACCCCAUUACAAUCUGUGUGGAGCUAAAAUCAGGUGAAAUCACUGUACUCCAUGAGCUGGGCAGAUUUGGGAUACCCCUCUGUGGAGCAGACACUGUGAAAACACCACGGAUGCUGCUGGACCGUCUAGUUGUUGCAGAUUUCCACGAUGAAAGAUUUGCUUUCUGAUGGCAAAAGUUAAAACCCAGCUGCUGAUCGGCUAUUUCUGGUGCAGACUCAUUAGAUUCCUAACUGUGAUUCCUGGGCCAAAGCAGCAGGUUGGGUGAGGGCAUGUCAUGAGGGGCACAGCCCCUCCCACCCACUCCUGACAGAUGGGGGACAUCUCAUGGCUGUGGGUUGUUGUAUUUGAAUUUUCCUUUAGCUGCAAUUUCCAUUAAUGGACUGAUUGUCUGACUCCUCCUUCCUCACUUUCUCUUGGUACACGCAUCUUAAUGGGGCCGUCUGCUAAAUGCAGCUGUCUCCCCGAAAGACAUUAUCUUUUCUAAGGGGCUCACUAGAUCCAUGCUCAGGGUGAAAGGGGUAGAGAGUUAUAUAAACCCAUUUUGAACAUUUUUGACAAGCAGAAUUUUGCCCUAUUUCCUGAAUCUAAUGAGUCUUUCCGGAUAAGUUGCAUAAAUUUUUUUUUCCCCUAUGAAAAUGCUUUGUCCUUCCUGUGUAGAACCCUUCCAGACAAAGGUCUGGGUGAGAGUAGGGGGUGACUGAAAAAGAAUUAAAGUUUUAAUUGCUGAA